CAGCAGCCGCGGGAAUACGGAUGGGGCUAGCGUUGUUCGGAAUUACUGGGCGUAAAGCGCACGUAGGCGGCUUGGUAAGUUAGAGGUGAAAGCCCGGAGCUCAACUCCGGAAUUGCCUUUAAGACUGCCGAGCUAGCAGGUGAGAGAGGUAAGUGGAAUUCCGAGUGUAGAGGUGAAAUUCGUAGAUAUUCGGAAGAACACCAGUGGCGAAGGCGGCUUACUGGCUCAUACUGGACGCUGAGGUGCGAAAGCGUGGGGAGCAAACAGGAUUAGAUACCCCGGUAGUCCCUGUCUCUUAUAC
RNAcentral lists this ribosomal RNA (301 nucleotides) under uncultured bacterium. RNAcentral describes it as "partial 16S ribosomal RNA". It matches the Rfam family "Bacterial small subunit ribosomal RNA", at positions 509 to 807 of the family's 1533-position model. The record is from RNAcentral.